This 409-nucleotide ribosomal RNA is filed under the name Aptera fusca. Its description in RNAcentral is "partial 12S ribosomal RNA". The record is from RNAcentral. Lineage: Eukaryota; Metazoa; Arthropoda; Insecta; Blattodea; Blaberidae.
GGAUUAGAUACCCUACUAUUAAGAAUGUAAAUAAUUAAAACCCGGGUAGUAAUAGUUAUGGUCUUGAAACUCAAAGAAUUUGGCGGUAUUUUAAUCUACUUAGAGGAAUCUGUCCCGUUAUCGAUAACCCACGUUGGACCUUACUUAAUUAAUUGGUUUGUAUAUCGCCGUUAAUGAAUAUGUUUUUAGGGAAAUUUUCUUAAUACUUAAAUUGGUAAAAUUUCAGGUCAAGGUGCAGCUUAAUAAUUAAGGGGUGAUGGAUUACAAUAUAUGAAUGUAAAUGGAUUAUUAUAUGUAAUGUUAAUAUGAAGGUGGAUUUAAUAGUAAUUUAUUAAAGAUUAUAAUUUUGAAAUAGCUCUAGAAUAUGUACACAUCGCCCGUCACUCUCUUCAGUAAGUGGAGAUAAGUC